GUGCACGCUCUGUUCACACAUCCACUCACACCUGUGCACCCUCUGUAGUUCUAUGGUUGGGGGAACACCGUCUGCCUCCUGUGGUUCUAUGUCUUUACACACACACCAAAGUGAAGUCUUAUGGAAUGUGCGCCGCGUUUAACGCAAUACAAUACAACUUUCAGCAACGGAUCUCUUGGCUCUCGCAUCGAUGAAGAACGCAGCGAAAUGCGAUAAGUAAUGUGAAUUGCAGAAUUCAGUGAAUCAUCGAAUCUUUGAACGCACCUUGCGCCCCUUGGCAUUCCGAGGGGCAUGCCUGUUUGAGUAUCAUGAACACCUCAACUCUCAUGGUUUGCCGUGAUGAGAUUGGACUUUGGGGUUUGCUGGCAUGCGGUUGGUCCUCUCAAAUGAAUCAGCUUGCCAGUGUUUGUGGCGUCACAGGUGUGAUAACUGUCUGCGCUUGUGGUGUCUGCCAGGUGACCUUCAGUGAUGAGGCUUGCUGGAGCUUCCAAAUGUCUCUCCUGAUGAAGACAGCUUUUGAUCGUCGAUCUCAAAUCAGGUAGGACUACCCGCUGACUUAAGAUAUCAUAAGCG
RNAcentral lists this ribosomal RNA (573 nucleotides) under uncultured Tomentella. RNAcentral describes it as "eukaryotic LSU rRNA". The stretch from base 156 to 309 matches the Rfam family "5.8S ribosomal RNA". The record is from RNAcentral. Lineage: Eukaryota; Fungi; Basidiomycota; Agaricomycetes; Thelephorales; Thelephoraceae.